RNAcentral lists this ribosomal RNA (497 nucleotides) under uncultured bacterium. RNAcentral describes it as "partial 16S ribosomal RNA". It matches the Rfam family "Bacterial small subunit ribosomal RNA", at positions 28 to 507 of the family's 1533-position model. The record is from RNAcentral.
GAUGAACGCUGGCGGCGUGCCUAAUACAUGCAAGUCGAGCGAACGGACGAUAAGCUUGCUGCUCUGAUGUUAGCGGCGGACGGGUGAGUAACACGUGGAUAACCUACCUAUAAGACUGGGAUAACUUCGGGAAACCGGAGCUAAUACCGUAUAAUCUUUUGAACCGCAUGGUUCAAAAGUGAAAGACGGUCGUGCUGUCACUUAUAGAUGGAUCCGCGCUGCAUUAGCUAGUUGGUAAGGUAACGGCUUACCAAGGCAACGAUGCAUAGCCGACCUGAGAGGGUGAUAGGCCACCCUGGAGCUGAGACACGGUCAAGACGCCUACGGGAGGCAGCAGUAGGGUAUCUUCCGCAAUGGGCGAAAGCCUGGCGGAGCAGCGCCGAGUGAGUGAUGAAGGUCUUCGGAUCGUAAAACUCUGUUAUUAGGGAAGAACAUAUGUGUAAGUAACUGUGCACAUCUUGACGGUACCUAAUCAGAAAGCCACGGCUAACUACGUG